Molecule: long non-coding RNA, 472 nt
Organism: Triticum aestivum (bread wheat)
Lineage: Eukaryota; Viridiplantae; Streptophyta; Magnoliopsida; Poales; Poaceae
Exons: 3
Source: RefSeq, a predicted model, not a curated record
UGCCCACUCCUCUGCUCUGUCCCUGCCCGAGACCCAAACCUAGCUAGCGCGGCGGCGGCGGCUUACCUGGCGGGCGCGAGGUCGCGAGGACCAUGGCACCAGGCGGGCGCGGGCGGCGGAAGGCUGGGGGCUUGGAGCCUUGGAGGGCGGCGGAUCCAGCGGCGCAGCAAGCGACGGCAGCAGCAAGCAGCGGCUCCGGCGGCGACUUCAGCGGCGCGGCGGCUUCAACGGCGGCUCCAGCAGGCGACGGCCACAGUCGGGGUUUGGGAUUCAGUUUUGUCUAGAUUGCUAGAAGAUGGAAGGAAAGGGAAAGGGACUAGUAAAUCCAAAGAAAAGAGGAAGAGAUUUGAAAAGGUUUUAGGUUGUUUUCCUAUUGAGACAUGUCUACAUUUCCAUUGUAUUUGGUUAUUCGUUCGUAGUGUGUAUUGACUCUUUGAUUCGCAUCAAAAAAAAUCUUAGUGAGACUUCGCCA